ACUCCUACGGGAGGCAUCAGUGGGGAAUAUUGGACAAUGGGCGAAGGCCUGAUCCAGCCAUGCCGCGUGUGUGAAGAAGGUCUUCGGAUUGUAAAGCACUUUAAGUUGGGAGGAAGGGCAGUAAGUUAAUACCUUGCUGUUUUGACGUUACCGACAGAAUAAGCACCGGCUAACUUCGUGCCAGCAGCCGCGGUAAUAC
Molecule: ribosomal RNA, 199 nt
Filed under: uncultured bacterium
Lineage: Bacteria
Description: partial 16S ribosomal RNA
Rfam family: Bacterial small subunit ribosomal RNA
Source: RNAcentral